This 88-nucleotide transfer RNA is filed under the name Actinomycetes bacterium. RNAcentral describes it as "Actinobacteria bacterium (groundwater metagenome) tRNA-Leu". It matches the Rfam family "tRNA". From Rfam's summary of the family: Transfer RNA (tRNA) molecules are approximately 80 nucleotides in length. Their secondary structure includes four short double-helical elements and three loops (D, anti-codon, and T loops). Further hydrogen bonds mediate the characteristic L-shaped molecular structure. tRNAs have two regions of fundamental functional importance: the anti-codon, which is responsible for specific mRNA codon recognition, and the 3' end, to which the tRNAs corresponding amino acid is attached (by aminoacyl-tRNA synthetases). tRNAs cope with the degeneracy of the genetic code in two manners: having more than one tRNA (with a specific anti-codon) for a particular amino acid; and 'wobble' base-pairing, i.e. permitting non-standard base-pairing at the 3rd anti-codon position. RNAcentral also lists the same sequence under 1 other name. Lineage: Bacteria; Bacillati; Actinomycetota; Actinomycetes. The record is from RNAcentral.
GUCGGAGUGGCGGAAUUGGUAGACGCGCAAGGUUGAGGGCCUUGUGGGCCGUAGGCCUGUGGGGGUUCGAGUCCCCCCUCCGACACCA